UACGUAGGGUGCGAGCGUUAAUCGGAAUUACUGGGCGUAAAGCGUGCGCAGGCGGUGAUGUAAGACAGUUGUGAAAUCCCCGGGCUCAACCUGGGAACUGCAUCUGUGACUGCAUCGCUGGAGUGCGGCAGAGGGGUAUGGAAUUCCGCGCGUAGCAGUGAAAUGCGUAGAUAUGCGGAGGAACACCGAUGGCGAAGGCAAUCCCCUGGGCCUGCACUGACGCUCAUGCACGAAAGCGUGGGGAGCAAACAGG
RNAcentral lists this ribosomal RNA (253 nucleotides) under uncultured bacterium. Its description in RNAcentral is "partial 16S ribosomal RNA". It matches the Rfam family "Bacterial small subunit ribosomal RNA", at positions 524 to 776 of the family's 1533-position model. The record is from RNAcentral.